UAAAUUUUUAUAUUAUUAUGGCAACAGUUGGGAGCUAAAGCUUUUGCAAACUGCUAGGCUCAGGUACUCAGCUUAUUUUGACCUGAUUACUCCAGAUUUGUCAAACAGUUGAUUAUAACUUCAUGAUUAUUUUUUUCCUCCCUUCAUAGUAAUAGAAACUCUCCCUCUUCCUAUUUGGAAUUUUAGACACUAUUGUUAGUGCAGCAAAACAGCCCAGUACUUGGUAGGCCAGCAUGAGAGGAGUUCUGCUUUUAAUGGAAAGAGGUAAUGCUAUGGAAAAUGUAUCAUGUAACUGUAGCUACUCAGUGGGUAUAGAAACAAGUUACGAAUAUGAUACGCUGCACUUUUCCUUUAACCAUGCAACUAGAACUUGCUUAUAUAUUCUCCAUCUAAGUUGUCUUUUAUAAUUUGUAAUCAACAAGCUGAGCUGAGUUGAAUAGAAUUGGGCAUGCAAAAUCUUACUCACAGGCUAACUCUGAAUUGUCUGAUUCAAUACAGGAAACCAUAAUGAGUAUUUUGGUUCUUCUAAUGGUAGUUACCAGCCAUACCUGCUGUCCUGAUGGCAAAUAUUCAUGGUAGAAAGAAUCUGCAUGAGUAAGUUAGAGUGAUUCUAGCUGCCAUUCAUAAGCAUUCCUAUAGGGUUUUUUAUAGGUUGUUUCAUUUACAUUCCUCUGCUUUCUUGAAAUAAAUACUUUAAUUAUGAGGAGAAAUUUAUUUUAUUUUAUUUUUAGAAAUCAAUUUAUCUCUGGAAUUACUCUAUUUCCAUGUGGUACAUGUAUUUUGAAAUAGUAGUUCCAUGUGUUAGCUGCAGAUUUGGGCUGUUGGAAGGAUUUUUGAGGAGGAGAAUAGAAACUGCAUUUUUACCAGAGUUCUGUUUUAAGAAAUUAUUUUUAAAAGUCUGUUUCUAUGUUCUAAAAACUAGUCAAGUAUCUGCAUUGCAGAGAUAUUGCAAAGUCUGUCAACUCAGGCAGCUUUAGACCAGCAGUAUCUGUCUAGGACUUGGAUGAAUUUGUAGUCUAAGAGUCAAAAUCUUGUUCUGCCAUCGACAGCUCAAUGUGCUUUGUGCAAAUGAUUAGAGGGCUGGUGUGGGGUAAAACAGUACAGGACAGCAGACCUGAAACCUUCCUUCUCUAUGCUGAACAGCUCCAUCACUUACUAAUAGGUUGUAUUUACGUUUAAGCGCUACAUUGACAAUUUAUUUCCAAUAGCUGUGGUGAGAGGUUUUCCUGGUGUCCCAUCAAGGCUCUUUCACUAGCCCUGAAGUCACAUUUUGAUGCCACGUUGUUUAAAAACAUCUAUCUUUGUGUACACAGGCAGAGAGAGGGUGAAGGCUAGCCCGCUUUGGGAGCUUUUGGCACCUUUAUAUUAAUCCACUGUUUCACUGAUGGAGAAGCUGGCCAACCACGGAGGAGGGAAGCAGUGACCGCUGUGUCGGUGUUAGGCCAGUGAACGCCGGCCAGAAGCCACCCUUUGGCUGUGCUCCUGGGGUGACUUGCCUUGCUUCCCAGCUGUCAGGGGGGCACCCUCUUAUUUCAGUACACCUUCUCCUGCCACCUUCCCAGGCAGUCUCCUCCUUUUAAAAUACAGUACGUUUUCACCAAAAAACAGCGUUCCCAGGAUGGUCUCGUAUUGUUUGUGUUACAAAGAGCUCCACUCUGGAAUGUGCUCCCCUCCCAAAUGUGCAUAUCUCCUCCAGUGUCAGCUUUUACUGUGAAAACAAAAGCAGAUGUUCUUGCCCAUUUCAGAUGGCUUUGUGCAAGAGAAGGCAUGGAGGCAUUCCCGUACUGGAACGGACAUUACCCAUCAAUUUUGAUAGCUUCUUUGAUACUGGCCACCCCGGUGUCCCUGCGCCGGCUCUGCCCCGGCUCCUGCUGGUGAUCCCAGACACCUGUGUGACUCUCUGAUCCCACACAGGAGGUCUGCAGCAGAAAUGGGACUCGCAUUUCCUGUGUCCUGACCACAAGGCCAUCUGCCAGUUCAUUAAAAUGUUUCAAGAAUAACAGCCUCCUCCAAUCCUUCCCACCUCAUAAUAUCUGCAGCAAAUGUUCCCCUUUUUUGAUGUAUCUCAUUCCUUGCAGUGUGGCUAAUGACCACUCUAGGGCACUUCUCACUCCCUAUAAAGCUGCUUUCAACUGUUUUGGGUUUUGUUCCUUAUUUACUGCUGCCUGUUAUCCCUUCCUCUUGCCCUCUCCAGUGUAUAAAUGCGUAGAUUUUCAUGUUACCUAGCCUCAGAGGACUGAAGGCUGCUGUCAGCCUUGCUUUGCUAAGCUUUGUGUGAGCAGAGAAUUACAGGGCACUGCCCAAGAGUGCUGGUAAUGCUGCUGUGUUUGCGUGGCCCUUCCAGGAGCUGUGCUUUCCAGGUCCAUAACCCCAUCCCUGUAACAGCCUGGGGGGACAGCUCUGAAGUAUGGCAAACCUUAGGAAAACUGCUCUGUUGGAGAUUUUUUUUUUUGGUUGUUGUCUUUCUAGAAGUGAACAUAACUAUGUAGACAAGGCGAGAGGAGGCAGUGUGUGCUUUGCUUACUGUAUGGGUAACCAAAAGUUGUGGAAUAAUGGUUUUCUUUGUAAGGUGGGAGUGCUGCUUCAGAACUAUGCUAAGCUGACUUUGAGCUGAUGCUUACAUAGAUCUUGUAUUCAAGCUAAGGAAUUUACUCCUGUUGAAAUACACACGUGAACUGCGGAAGUUGUGUAUGAAACUUAUUCCAUCUGCAAUCUGGUCACAUUUGUUCAACUGGAGAACAGAAUCAGUUCGUGUAAACUCUAUGCCCAAUAAAAACUAAGGACUAGGGCUCAAAUUUCAAAUGUGAAAUAAUUGGAACUAACAGGCUGUGAAUGAUUCAAAAGCAGAGAAGUCUCUGUAGGACUAUUCAGUUAAUAUGUUGAAUAAUGAAUGCGCUGAAAAAAAAUCACAGCUUUCCAUAGAAAAUUUACAGACAGGAAAACAAGGCAUUUUUUUCUGAAUAAAUGACUGCUCAGUUCUAGUGUCAGUCUAACAUUUUAACUCACUAAAUUUAUACAUGCAAGUGUCGUUUACUGAAAUGCACGUAUUUAAAGAAAACAAGGAUAUGAAUAAAAUUGUGUAAUGUUUUAUAAGGAGUAUGAAUAGAUUAAAACAAAUUAGUAUGAAGGGAAAAUUAUUAUAUGUAAUAAUGUGGCUCUUCAUUUUAAAAAUAUGUUUUUAAUGAGUCUCAGUUCAAUUCCUCUCUAUAUUUUUUGUGGUGAAUUUAUUUCUGUGAAGUGUCAUAUGGAUGAGCAAUACAAUUUUAAAAUGCCUGCCUCUGAAUGAUAUUCCUAUGAAAUGUUCCUGAUCUUUGACCUACUAGAGUUAUAUUGCAGCAAUUAUUAUGUAUUAAUGUAGGAGAAAUUUUACCAUUAUAUUUAGAUUAAUUUUGAAUUGGUUUGUACUACAUCUGUAAUUUGAGUUCCAGUGUGUAAUAAAAUUUCCUUAAUUAUGAAGAGCAAGAGAAUUGCCAUCAGAGGCCUAUCACAAAGCAGAAGGUCAUUCAGAUGGCCCUAGCGAACUAGACACAGGCUGUGCAUGUCACUGCACCAUGCCUCUCUCUGUAACCCCCUUUCUGAAAACCAGGAGUGACUUUCUGGCAGUAGGACUAAGAGCACGGCCAGGUUGAUGCUUUGUUGCUGGGCGAUGUUCAGGGAACAUCCCUGGAAAAAAGGAAAGUGGUCCUGUGAGAGGUCACAGAGUAUCUCCUUACUGUCUGUUUUGACUUCCCCUCUUCCCAUCAGUGGAUGGUGCCUCUUUGGACUGUAUAUGCUCUGGACACUUUGGUUGUUUUUCAGUUAAUUCACUGGCUACAGCCUUCUCCAUAAUAUAAUUAGUGCUGUUCGGUGCCAUGCUGAGGAGAGGGCCUUUAGAGACUGAUCCCUUAACAGUCCUUGGAAUCCUUUUUGAAGUCCUUUUAUCCAAUUUUCCAACACCACAGUAUUUAAUUAAAUAAGAAAAAAAAAUCAAAUGUCAAUGCAAUUUUACCAUUUGGCAGUACACUGGUGUGAUAUCAAGCUGAGAGGAUGGUGUGAAGGCUGAGCUGGGACAACAUGAAACCCUGCAGCAUGAUGCUGUGGGAAGUCAGAAGGGAAAAACAACUCUUAUGUCUAGGAUAUCAGACUGGUGUCCUAGUAGAAAGCCCUUAUAUCCUUUGCUUUUCUUUACAAUUUUCCAACGCCAAGAUAAAUGAGAGAUUUUGGUACAAUAGAAGGGUGUCAGUGCACCCGUUUCAAUGAUCUAUGCAAUAUUUUAAUCAUCCCAGGUAUUCUAUUGGCUUUUGUGUAUGGGUAGAGCAUAGCUGUUUUCCCCUAGCUUUAGUAAAAACACUUUCACAUUUUUAAAUCCUGAGAACAAAGUGCUUUGCAUCCUGUGUUGUUUGUUUUUUUUCCCUCAAGCUGGUAUGUGCUGUACCCUUGUCAUCUCUGGAGAUAUCAGUCUGACUGUGCUUCAGAUAGACUAUUUGAUUUGUGAUGGUAAAGGACCAGGCUGAAGCCCAGGGCUUGGCCAAAGUAGGUCAUGUCGAGUUCAUGCCUAUCGUGUAUUCAAAAGCCAUAAACGUUUCUCAGAAAGCCUAUCCCUCGGAAAGAUUCCUCCAAGAUAACAUAUGUUUGAGAGAGGGUUUUGUGUUGCUGCAUCUCCACACAAAUGACAAGUAUUACUGUCAUCAUUCUUUCUUCCUUGGUGUUUAACCCGAUAGUCUCACUGGAGUCAUAAUUUAUCAAUUGCUAGAAGCGCUGUGGGAUAUAGAUGGUAUGAAUCAAAUACAGCGAUGGCUGAGGUAAAGCUGUCUGGGCUUGAAAGCUGUGAUAGAGGCAGUUUCCAGGGAGGCUUGAGGUAUUUAAGUUGCCAACUGUUUGUAAGAAAAUCUCUCCGGCAGCUGGAGGAUGUAAUCUGAAGAGCACUUCCAAAUUUAGUAGAGGCUUCCAGUCGGACAGCUUUAACCGAGCUGUACGUUUAGGGUAAGGCCACUACUUGCCUUGGUGUGACUUAGCGAAAUCCUUUUGGAUGGCCUGGCUCUCAGCACAACAUGCAGAGCCCGCGAUGAGGAGCAGACUGGCCAAGUUGGUUCAUGUCUGGGACAGCUUUGAGCAGCACAAGGAUGAGGAAAGCAUCAGCUUGUUCCUCUGCUCAGUGUUGUGCUGGUACCAAAUUCCCUGUCCCAACUGGAGAGUGACUGGGACACUUUUCCUGUGCCCAAGCAGAACUUCCCUCCGUGUGACACCCAGGGAAAUUGGCAGUGUUAUUUCUGAUGCAAAGCACUACUGGAACGUAAGGAAGAAAUUAAUCAACCCGUCCUGAUUCUCAAAUAUGCUGAAUUUACCACAACUUCCACUGAUGUUAUGGGUAGCCAGGCCUCAGAAGCCUCAAAAAUGUCUGUGUAAUUUUUUCAUAGCAAGGCUGUGGGCCAGCCAGCAGGGCUCAGACCUGAUGGUCUUGACUGUUUCAGGAUGUACAGCAGCAUGGAGGCCCUGAGGCAGGGUGGCCUCAUUUUCUUCUCUAACUGUAGUAUAAAAUAUUCUCUUGUCAUCAGCUGGUUAGUACACUUGUAUUUACCAACCAUGUGUGUGGCUCCUGAUGGUGGCUAGUCAGAAACAGCCACCCUUUCACUGGCAGCAAUAUUCGCACUGAAUGUGCAAAACCUGGCCACCUGCUGAUUUGGCUAUUUUUUUCCUGCAUCUUGCAUGUAUAUUUGUUUUAUUCUUUAGCCACGGGAAAUCAUCUCAGUAGAAAUAUUGCCCACACUGCAGCUUUGACUGGAUAAAAGAGAAGUGAAAAAUAUGGGCAGCUAAAUAGAUUUUCCCUGACUCACCCCUUGCUCACUGAAUGGAAAGCCAAAGCUUUCUGGACACAGAUGUUUUUUUGUAAUAUAAAUGGGAUCCUAACAAUGUUUCUGAGUCAGAACAGAGGCAGGGAUGGGCAUAUGCAGAACGCUUUGCAGAAACUGUGGCUGAUAGGUGGCACCGCCAGCAGGACUGCCCAGAAAAGAGGAGAGACCUCACCCACCCCAAGCUCAGUGAUAAAGGCUUGGAGAAACAAUCAGCAAGCCUUUGAGCAGUUUUGCAAGGCAUCUUCAGUAUGGAAAAGAAGGUCCCCAAACAGGGUAAACAUCACCAUGAAGAAGCUCUGUGCGACCCACUUGCGGGGACAGCUGACGCAUAUCCCUGUGCUGGCACGGCAGGAGGGCCGAGCAACCUGUUAGAAAGGAAGAUGGGAAACAGCAGGAGAAGAGCAAUGUUUUAAGGUGGAGAGUGAAGGAUACAAUACACAAUCAACUGAAUACUUUCUUAUAACUUUUUGCCAGCAGAUUCUCUGUUUCCUUUCCUCUCUUCAUUUAAUUUAAUGUCCAAGUCUCGGAGCUGGCUGAGGAACCCUGUGUUUGGGCAGAUGUUUCUGUGAGAACCCACUGUUUUCAGAGCAUCCACGAGUGUCAUGUUUUUGUGGAUCAUCAAAAAGGCAAGCACUAAGGAUGCAGAGCGGCUUACCCCCAUGGCACAAUGCACAAACACUUUACCUGCAGAAAGAAGAGACAUGAGACCCAGGAGGCUCAGUCCAGCCCGAAGCAGAACUCUAUCAAGAGCAAGAGUUCAAAGGCAUCCAAGGAGGCCCUUCUCUGAGACUUUAGGAGCAUUCCCCUGCCAGGAUCUCAUUAUCUGGAAUUGCUGUUCUCGCCUCCAGAGAACAUUGAUGAGCUUUGUUUGGUUGCUUGUUGGUAUUAAAGCCAUUAUCAAUGUGGGAGCCACAUGAGAACUUGUUCCCAAAGUGAGAACGUUAAGCUGGAGCAGUAGAAGGAAAUCAAGAGCUCCUACAUCUGGAGAUUCAGAAGACCAUGGACUAAUUUCCAAGGAGCAUGUAUGACUCUCAGACGCUGCAGAUGUUAAAAAGCUGAAGUUGUGGAGGUAGUGCUUAACACUAUGGCUCUUUGUCCUCCUGAUGGAAAAAUCCAGAUGGAAAGAAGCGUGGUUCACAGGGAAAUGAUCGUCCUGAGCUAAUCUCUGGAGCUGAUGGAGGCAAGGUGCUCGCUGGGUGCAGAGGGGAGCAAUUAGGGAGUUUUGUAAUGGGACCAGACCUUCCAUCCAUAAUUAAAAGCAUCACAAAGUUUAGGAAGUAGUUAAUCUGUGGAAGGCCAAAAGCUGGAGGCGAUGCAGCGGAAGAAUCACUCCUACAUCGUCCAGCUACUUAUGCUCUCUUCCCCUAGACACUGCUCUGGGCUGAUGGAGAAGAUCAGCUAACCAGACCUUCAGGUCUAACCUGCCUUGGCACCUUUUCCAUGUGUCUUAUGAAAGAGGUGUCUACAAUACCCAUUACUAACUAUUGAAUUAUAUAACAUGGGCACUAAACAUACCGCAUCUGCUUCCCAGACUGUGAGGAACAUUUAUCACUAUGAAGGAAGAUUCAUUUCUUAGCACCAGCAAGGAGGAGGAUGACAAAGGAUUGGGAGUGGAGAAGGAAAAGAAAAAUGUUUAAAAGCAACUUUCAACUGUUGUGGUGAUGAGGAAAAACAGCUGAAGACAGAUGCCUUUCACCUGGACAGCAACACCCUCGCCCAAUGAGAUGAUGCUAAGACACAUCCCAGUGCCCUCCUCCCUCAGGAUUCUGAUCCUACUUGGCUUUUUAAGGUAUCAUGCUUUAUAUUGUUCUGUUUGGUAAAAGGACUUUGUUCCCAGGUUGGUUCUGUGCUUAGCAGCAGGAAUCAGCUUCACCUUGUGAGGAAAGCAAGUGAUGGAAGCUCUGUGGCUACUGGCAACACCACAAGCGCACUGACAGCAUCCAGAACCCUUCUUUUGUCCACCUCAGUCACAGGGUCCCACCUGCUAUUUGGAAGUGGAUUAAGCCUUACUGAAAAUGAGUAAGCUUAACAGAAAACAAAAUGACUUUGAAUCUGCCUCAUCUAGAAUGUCCUUCAACCUGGGUCCUUUUGCUACACUUCAAACAACUGAUCAUCUCAAUCAAAGCUCCCUCCAGGAUAUACUGAAUCCUCUUCUGGAGACAAGAAGAUACACUCCGGUCAUUGUAGUGGGCCAUAUGUGAUGGACACUGACUUGGAUGUAGUUUUGUGGACCACUCCUUAUCUUUCAGGAUGCUGCUAUCCUCUCUCUAACCAUGGAGACAAUAUCUGAGCAUGCAUCUGAGCCUGGGCAGGAAGUCCUGUGUACCUGUUUGCUUCAGGGGAGAUGGAAGGUAAGCAGCUCCUCGUCAGGCUGGGUCCCCAGCAUUGAUGGUUCCUUCAGGGUUAUGGGAAACUACAGGGGCACCUUGGGUGAACCUGGGUGCUUUGGUUCAGCAGGUUCAACUUAUCUUCAGCUACUGAAGCAUCUUCCCAAGUGGGAUUCUCCCUCAAUGAGGAGUUAAUGUUCAGUGCAUCGUGCAUCUCUCCUGCAUCGUGCAGCCCCUGUUGUCGUGUGCAUAUUCUAAACAAAGUGCCACUGGUGAGGCAGUGUUUUGCUUUUAUUUUGGCUCCUCAGCUUAACUUGCCAAACCAAUAUUCAAAAUACAAGUUUUUUGGCUGAUAGAGGAAAACAGGGAAGUACUAAUGUUGUGUCACAUCACGACCUGAGCUAUGGAUAAUGUAAGGGACUGGUGAGGUCUCUUUUCCUCCUAGCAAGUCAAAGCAGUGUUUGCUGUUUCAAGAAGUUACAGGACUAAUUUUACAGCUUUUACAUAUGUUGAUGGGAAUCUUUUUCCCUGCGCAGAGCUGGAGCCAAAGGUGCACAGUAUAUAAAGAAGGGAGCAAUAUUGCAGGCAGGAAAUUUAGGCAACACAACCUCUGCAGAUUAAAAACACUUCUGUGAUUUACCACUGCCCUUGAAAAGAGUUUCUAACUAUUUUUUUCUAUCCACUGGGGUAAGUAAGUCUUGCUGUACAAAAUCACUACCGUGUCCCUGAUGGAAUGGAUGCUAUACUGGCUCAACUUCGGUCUACAGUUCUGUACCCCUUGUGAAACAAAAUUCUCAAAGGAGGAGUAGUAUCUAAGAGAGCAGGUACUAAUUUACAACAAGAGCAGCUUUCACAGCUGUGGCUUUGUGGGACAGAUGUUCAGGGGCAUGCAAAGCAUUAUCCUGAUGGGAGGUUCCAUCAAUCUUGCUCACACGUGUCUAAUUUUGCCCAGCCUAAAGCCAUUAAGAUGCAUUAUUUCACUCACAUCAAUUCCAGACUUUUCAGUGCCAUGUCUUCAAAAGGCUUCAAGACUGAAAUCUACUGUAAUGUGAAUGAAGUAUAAAUUACAAUGAAAUAUUAACUCGUGUAAAUCCUUAUUAAUGCUAAUGGAGAUCUUCAAAGCAAACCCAGCUCCUCCUCCGCUGCUCUGCUACUUUGUGAGGUAUAAAGAUUGUGCUAGCACUGUUGGGUUUUAAAUGUGAUUUUCUAUUUGAUCUUUUUAUGUUACAAAAUUUUCUCUUUGUUGCCAGUGGAGCUCUUUGGCAAGAUUUAGGAAAAUCUGAACAGACAGUCAAAUAGACCUCUAAAAGGAUCUUAAAUAUGCUUAUUUUGCUAUGUGUACAUUGAAAUAGGGAUUUCUACAUUCCCAUAAGCACUAGGCCAAAUCAGCAUCUGUGUCUCAGCCUGUCCAAGAAUUAAGGGUGAUAGGUGUGGGAAGGAGGUCUGGGAAGGAAGAACAACAACCCACAAGUCACCACCAUUUAAGUUUUGUAAUAACUUUGCAAGCCGUCUCCAGCAGAGAGGCAAUGAUGAGGCCUGAUGCUUCAAGCAAGCAGAAAUGUAUUUACUCAAUCUGGCAGAGAAAGUUUAUAAGGUCAUCUAAUCAAUAAAUCAACCUAGUAGCAAAGGGCAAAAAUAGAUUUGAUUAUUGCUUCAUGGUUCACCACAAGGUAACAAGGUAAUUUUCAGGGAGAAUGGUAGCAUGAAUUUCAAAUGCAGUUUCUGUAUUAAAAAUUGUGUUGGUUUAAGUAACUGAUUAACUGGUCAUAGGAAAAGUGACAACCUCUAAACAACCUAAAACUAAUUUGUAUCAAUUAAGCCGAGCUAUUUAUUUAAGCUAACUCAGUUCCCUGCUGAAUUUAGAAAAUAGCAAUGUAAGAUGGGCCUAAAUCAAAUUAAGGGCAUGCAGGCAGGCAGGGAGUCUGUCAGUCUGGUUUUUUAGGCUUAUUUUAAGUUGAAGCUUUGAAAUCUGGAACAUAGACAAGAUACCACAUUCAGGUGUCAGCACCGUUACGCAGAGAUGGAUGGAAAGCAAUACUUGGAUUUCCUGGAUCUUUGACACUUUCUUUCUCUGGACUAAUCCUUUGUGAAGGAAGAGGCCAGAGAGAGCAGAUAAUAUUUAGGCUUAAACCUGAGAAGUUGAAAGGAACAGGAUAAAUGCAGGAGGACUGGCAGAGGAGGAAGAUGUUCUUGCUCAGGUUCAAGCUGCUGGUGUGCCGGAGGAGUUGCCGGCCAUGGAGCUCAGCAAUUCCCUUGCAGACUGAGGGGUAAGGAGCAGAGAGAUGGUGCAAAAUAAGCACUUCACAUAUUAAAACCAAAAUUACUCCUUAUACACGUCUUUUAUGGAUUUAACAUCCACAGGCCCUUAGCAUAAUCUGCAUUUAUUGUGGGCAAGAGCUUGGAAACACACAGUGGGGAACAGGCAAACACAUGCCAGUAGCUCCUCAGUAAUGACGAAUGCCCGGGUUCCUACCUGAUGUUAAACCAAAAAUGAUUCAAAGCCACUUACACAAAACUGAUGAAUUUACACUUACAAAAUACCUUGAAAAUCUGUCUUCUUUUUUAAUGUCUUCAAUAUAGUACAUAAUAUACAGUAUCUUGUUGAAAACAUAUUUACACAAGAAAAGGCUUGUGGGUUUGCUGACCCUGAGACUGCAUAGGGAGCUGUGCAGAGGAAGUUUAUUCUGUUGGUGUGGGUGUUCAGGCUGCCACAGCUUUCUGUGGCACUGCAACACUGAGGAGACUGGCGGAAGAGGAAGGUGUCUGCAGCAGUGCUUGGGCUUCUGACCAAUUGCCCUCAUCACACCACCAGGCCUGCAACACGACAAGCUUUUCAUAUGAAAACUACAACCAAACUGAAGGUCAUUUUACACUCUUUAGUAAAGGGGACUCAAACAUACUGUACCGCUAGAUGCAAUUAUUGAACUUGUCUCUGGUAUUAGCACAAGUGGGGAACAACCUCAGUCCAUCCUAACUGCUCCAGGGGAGUCAUUUGGUAGUACCACGCUGGGCGCAGGAGCUCUGCAGCAUGUGGUACUUAUGGGGCUGAUGUUGGCAGUGCUCGUCUACGAGGAACUGAGCCACCAAAAUUGAUCCAUUGGCAGUUCUGUUGAUUUUUUUUUUUCUUUGAUGGGUUCCAUAACUCUUAAUUCUUUCAGUAUGCACUGAUCAUGGGAAGUAUUGUAGGCACAUUGAUUAUGAAGGCUGAAAAUCUGAAUGCAAAGGGAUUUGCCCUUUCAGCAGCCCUUCUUUUGCCGUAGCUGAACAUCCAGAUUUCGCAGGUGUUUCAGAAAGCCACGAUUGGGUGAAAUCCAUCGAUGUUCCUUCACUGUUUUGAUGGCUUCAAUCAAUGGGAGGUGGUGAUUUAUCAUGAGAUAUGCUAGGACAAGGGAAGCUGACCUGCUUACUCCAACUGCACAAUGUACCAAAAUUUUAGCUGGUCAAAAAAGGGGAAAAAAAAAAGGCAAAUUAUAACCAUAAAGGUGAAGUAGCACAGAGGAUGAAGUUGAAUUUAAAGGGAAGACAAACCCCUCCUGUAUUCUCCAGUGUGGUCAGAGCAACACAGCAAACAAUUUAUUUUCUACCCUUUCAAUAGACCGCAUGAACUGCUAACAGUAAAGUCUAAUUUGUAACUGUUCCAGCAACUUGAAUGAGCAGUGCCAUGAGGUCACAACCUGAUUUCAGAAACACUGGUAAAUCAAAGAAAACCCUGUGGAAGCACUGAUGUUGUUCUGUUGUGAACAAGAGGAAAACCAGACCCAUUGCUUUCAGAGGGGCUCACUAAGGUGAAGAAGAAUGCUACAAUAUGGCCUGAAAGGAUGGCACUAACACAUUAGCCACCAAGAAAAACGACUGGCCUAGUACUAUUGCAUAAUAAGGCAAUUUGCUGUGGCUGUAUUUCUUUUUUGAAGGCUGAGCGUGUGAGACAGACUGAGGUAGAUCCAUUAAUGCCAGUUUACUCAUGCUAAGGAAUAAUCUUUUAUGUAAUAGAUGCUAAUUAGUAUUUUAUAGCACCAGUGCCAAGACGCUCAAUCUCUUGUGCAACGUGUCAUAAAUCUCCUUGGGUAAAGGUGCGUCUCCUGCUAAGUCGCAUGCUCUGCAGGCCCUAUUCACACAGGGUGAACAUCUGCAGCGUAUGGGCCUCUUCACAUGUCGUGUAGCUGGAGAAAUCAGGACUUGUGACUCUAUUCAUGUGUUCUUACAAAUACAGUUGUCACAAGAGGAUCUCAGAAGACUAGACCAGAUAAAACUGUGUCCAUAUCAAAUGCGUGUUUUUUUCUUUUCCUUGUUUGAAUAAGCCUUUCUUUCCAGAUAUUUUUCCCUCUCCUCCUUGUCCUCUCCUCCUCAGUCUCUCUUGUUCACUGUCCAUCCUUUUUCUCACGUCAACUUUUUGCAGUCUUCCUUGAUCUUUGGGACCAAGCUAGAGCUAUGCGUGUGCUCAGCACACCCUCCCCUCACCCCCCACCAGGCAGGUGACCAGCAGUCCGCACGCUGACUCAUCCACCACUGAGCUUGUGGACCUGACCAGUUAGUUACAAGAGGCUGCCAACACAUCUAAACUGUGAACAGUGAUAAUUUCAUACCUCCUGGCGUGUUCAAGGCUUUGUGGAUAAAUUCUGCCGCAGAGUAAAAGAACUGGCUUAUAUCAAAGCUGGGGAGGUCGUGGGCUGGUACACCAUAAUAAUCAAUGGUAGCUCCGUAAUAGUCCUGGCCUCCGUGGCUGUACGCUGUGCCGUGGGCAGCGUUUAAAACAUGGGUAACGCCCAUCUUCCACAGAAUAAAUCUGUUGUGAGCUGUUACUCUGAGGAAAAGGCCAACACAAACAAAUCAAGAUGGGUACAGAGAUAUUCAGAGGGCAGGAACAGUCCUGCGAUUGCAUCUCCCAAGCCAUGUGCUGGCACAUAAGCCAGCGCAUUGUUCCCGAGGGUUAACAAAGAAGCAAGUAUGCACUCAGUCAUAAUUUUAUCUCAGAAACUUUGCUGUCUGCAGUCUAAAUGACAUUAGUCAGCAAAACCAAGAGCUACUUAAUGCCUGACCGAUUAGGGAUAAUAACAGACUGAAGAGACAGAGCGUACAGCGUGGCGUUAGAGCAAAGUCAGUCCGUGCAGCUUUACUUACAGGUCUCCCAAGAAGAGAUUAGGCCAUACUUCGUCGACGUGGUUACAGGAGGGCCGCCCGGUACUGAGGAGCUGCUCCAGUUCUUUGAGGGAGGGGACGUCUCCUGUGCAUGGCUCGAGGCCCGGGGGGCCCAGUGCCUCUGCCCCGGACAUGCGAGAGCCAGGGCGAGACCCGCUCCCGGCAGCCAGAGGCACCGAGCUGGGCGCUGGGGAGCUGCCAGCACCCGUAGCAGUCACGGGGCACCAGGAGAUGGGCUGGGGCAGGUGCUGGGCCGCAGCUCCUGACACUGUGCCCACGCUGCAACAUCCCCGAGCCCCCUCCCCAGGGCUUGGCCUGGUAGGCACGGGCAGUAGAAACAGACGCCCGAACCUAAUCGUGCCUUGCUGGUUCCAGUCUGCUCCCUGCUGUUCGUCCCCAGACCCAGUCCUUGAGUCCCCAGCCUGCAGGACACCCACCAUCUACCCAGAGAUGUCCAGGAUGGCCCUCAGGGGUGUCCUCAGUGCUGCAGCAGCAGCCAGCAAGGUCUGACUGUUCAUCACAAAGCCAUAAAAGUCCUGAUAAAGUUAAAAUGCAAACCUGUCUGGGGCAAGAUGCAUGGCAGCUAUCUCACAGUAACUCAGUGGCAUUUAAAAGUGUAGCUGCUGAAGGGCUGGGAAUGCAUUGAUGUGUUCUUUCAAUGUGGUCACCAGGAAGCUAAACACCAGGUAGGUUACGACAUCUUGCCUAUCACCAGUAAUCUAGAGAAAUGUUAUUUCUUGAAGGUACUGUUUUUUCACUAAAUGGAAGAAUCCAAGGCUGUUUGUUAUGUUUAGUCUUUUAUAUUGCAGUUGCUGCUUUCAUCAGUGCAUUAAUAUAACAACAUGCCACACGUUGUACCAUGCCUUCCUGUGCUGAAGACAGAGCCAAGAACGUGAGUGUAAUGGUUGUCAGGUGAAACUUGUAAGCCUCUGCAUUAGUUUAUAUAACAAGAUCUGGAAUUCGUAGCUUGGAGGUUUAGUGUGUUAAACUGUCGUAUUAGUGGAUCCUUGUAGGGAUGCUAGUGCUUGUGCUCCUGGCCUGCAGGCUGUGUGACUCCUGGCAGGGGUCUGAAAAACUGCAAUGAAGCCCGUGGGCAAAACGCGUGAAAUGCUGAUGUUCUUCCUUUGUAAGCCUGGCAGCUAAUAUGAAGCUCCUCUACCAAAGCAGUCCAGAAGACACGGUGCUCACAGAAGAGAAGCUUGGUGCUGCUUCCCUCCUCCAUGUUGAAAAAGGGUGGUGAACAGUAGUGAAGCCUUGGUAAGGGCUGACACACCUUUAUUCCACAUGCAUUGCUUUACUGUGAUGGAGAGAGGGAUUAUUUUAUUUUAUUGAAAGAUGUAUCAUAGAGAGCAAUUUGAAAUUGAGUAUCAAUGUCUGGACUAAUUAACUGUGCUUAAGAGCACUCUGGAUGAUAGCUGGCCUGAUUUAGCAGAGGAGAGGACUGCAAAAGUGGUUAAAGUUAUACUUAAGGCAUGUGUUCUUUACAUGUUACUUUGGUCUGAUUUGCUCUUGUUUCUUUCUUUCAGCAAAACAGCUUUUUAAGCUGACUGAUUUGUGUUCAUGAAGCAAGGAAUUUACUGACCCAGCAGGUGAAAACUGUUUAGUUCAGUCUUCUCAGGUUCCUGGGUGGAGGCUCAAGUUGAGGUUUCACUAGCAGUUUUGCUAAUGCAAACCCAGCCCUUUUGUUCCCAAUCAAGUUAUGUCAGAAAGGUAAUGCCUUUGUUUUAUUCUGGCCCUUUUCAGCAUUAAAACUUUUAUUGGCCUCUACCUCGAAUGCACUGGCUAAGAGCUCAGUGGUACAAAAGCUGAUGAGCAGAAAAAUGUGACCUCCAGAAAAAUGAUCUCUAAACACUGUGUGCCUGCAACAUUGAUAUGGCAUAAGGCCAGCUGCUUCAAAACAGUGUGACUCUAUCAAAACUCUGGCCUUCCACCCUUAGCACCCUCUAAACCUUUAAUAGCUCUGUGAACAUGACUUCGGUGCAGCUGUGUUACUGACUUUUUCUUGCCAAGAGCUGUCAUUGAAAGACGCAGGAGGCAGAGAUCUGCUUUUUGGACAAGCUCCCUUACUAACACAUAGGAUGUAACCUUGCUGAAGGGGCAACCAUUUCUUCCUGUUCACUGUGCACACUCUUGCCUGCUGUUCUGCCCUUGGCACUGGGCUUGGGUGGUUGUGGGAUAUUCUUCUCUUCCCAUGUAGUCACAUAGAAUUUAGCCAUCAGGUCUGUGGGCUGGCACAGGACUAUCAAGCUCUAUUUUACUGGGAUGUGUGUUGGCAUGAAACACUCAAGAGGCUGGAGAUCCUUCUCAGCAGAAGUACCAAUACUCCUAAGAAAAACUAAAGGCUUCUGGUAAAGUUAUUGUGAUAGCAUGCAGGAAAAGGCCACAAUUCUCUUUGUGAAGAAUUGUUGUAGUUUAGUUCAUAUAAAAGCAGCCUCAAUGCAAAUGAUUACAAACAAACAAACAAACAAA
This is a non-coding RNA of Anas platyrhynchos (mallard), 15763 nucleotides long. Lineage: Eukaryota; Metazoa; Chordata; Aves; Anseriformes; Anatidae. The record is from RefSeq and is a predicted model, not a curated record.